This 1006-nucleotide ribosomal RNA is filed under the name Pseudoophiobolus rosae. RNAcentral describes it as "SSU rRNA". It matches the Rfam family "Eukaryotic small subunit ribosomal RNA", at positions 87 to 1103 of the family's 1831-position model. The record is from RNAcentral. Lineage: Eukaryota; Fungi; Ascomycota; Dothideomycetes; Pleosporales; Phaeosphaeriaceae.
CUGCGAAUGGCUCAUUAAAUCAGUUAUCGUUUAUUUGAUAGUACCUUACUACUUGGAUAACCGUGGUAAUUCUAGAGCUAAUACAUGCUGAAAACCCCAACUUCGGAAGGGGUGUAUUUAUUAGAUAAAAAACCAACGCCCUUCGGGGCUUCUUGGUGAUUCAUGAUAACUUAACGGAUCGCAUGGCCUUGCGCCGGCGACGGUUCAUUCAAAUUUCUGCCCUAUCAACUUUCGAUGGUAAGGUAUUGGCUUACCAUGGUUUCAACGGGUAACGGGGAAUUAGGGUUCGAUUCCGGAGAGGGAGCCUGAGAAACGGCUACCACAUCCAAGGAAGGCAGCAGGCGCGCAAAUUACCCAAUCCCGACACGGGGAGGUAGUGACAAUAAAUACUGAUACAGGGCUCUUUUGGGUCUUGUAAUUGGAAUGAGUACAAUUUAAACCUCUUAACGAGGAACAAUUGGAGGGCAAGUCUGGUGCCAGCAGCCGCGGUAAUUCCAGCUCCAAUAGCGUAUAUUAAAGUUGUUGCAGUUAAAAAGCUCGUAGUUGAACCUUGGGUCUGGCUGGCAGGUCCGCCUCACCGCGUGUACUUGUCCGGCCGGGCCUUCCUUCUGGAGAACCUCAUGCCCUUCACUGGGCGUGUUGGGGACCAGGACUUUUACUUUGAAAAAAUUAGAGUGUUCAAAGCAGGCCUUUGCUCGAAUACGUUAGCAUGGAAUAAUAAAAUAGGACGUGCGGUCCUAUUUUGUUGGUUUCUAGGACCGCCGUAAUGAUUAAUAGGGACAGUCGGGGGCAUCAGUAUUCAAUUGUCAGAGGUGAAAUUCUUGGAUUUAUUGAAGACUAACUACUGCGAAAGCAUUUGCCAAGGAUGUUUUCAUUAAUCAGUGAACGAAAGUUAGGGGAUCGAAGACGAUCAGAUACCGUCGUAGUCUUAACCGUAAACUAUGCCGACUAGGGAUCGGGCGAUGUUCUUUUUCUGACUCGCUCGGCACCUUACGAGAAAUCAAAG